RNAcentral lists this long non-coding RNA (263 nucleotides) under Elaeis guineensis (African oil palm). RNAcentral describes it as "long non-coding RNA (EGUI_LNC054732)". Lineage: Eukaryota; Viridiplantae; Streptophyta; Magnoliopsida; Arecales; Arecaceae. The record is from RNAcentral.
CUAGACCAGUUGCCUUUGAUCUAAUGGGAUUGGAUCAAUUUAAAUUGGAUCCUUAUCCAACUUGAAAUAAUUUUAAGUGUAGAAGGACUCCUCUGUGCCCACUAGAAGCCAUACCAAAAAAUAAAUGCUGCCCACCUCUUUUCAGCAUGUGAAGUUGAAGAGUCCUUCUUCAUGAAAGCUCUUAAUUAAAUGCAUUGCCUUAAAAGAUAAACCAGAACUCCUAUAAUUUAAUGUCAAAAUUAAGUGAAAUUUUUAUGGCACGU